UAGGGAAUCUUCCGCAAUGGGCGAAAGCCUGACGGAGCAACGCCGCGUGAGUGAUGAAGGUCUUCGGAUCGUAAAACUCUGUUAUUAGGGAAGAACAAAUGUGUAAGUAACUAUGCACGUCUUGACGGUACCUAAUCAGAAAGCCACGGCUAACUACGUGCCAGCAGCCGCGGUAAUACGUAGGUGGCAAGCGUUAUCCGGAAUUAUUGGGCGUAAAGCGCGCGUAGGCGGUUUGUUAAGUCUGAUGUGAAAGCCCACGGCUCAACCGGGGAGGGUCAUUGGAAACUGGAAAACUUGAGUGCAGAAGAGGAAAGUGGAAUUCCAUGUGUAGCGGUGAAAUGCGCAGAGAUAUGGAGGAACACCAGGGGCGAAGGCGACUUUCUGGUCUGUAACUGACGCUGAUGUGCGAAGGCGUGGGGAUCAAACAGG
RNAcentral lists this ribosomal RNA (429 nucleotides) under Actinomycetes bacterium. RNAcentral's name for it is "Actinobacteria bacterium partial 16S ribosomal RNA". It matches the Rfam family "Bacterial small subunit ribosomal RNA", at positions 355 to 776 of the family's 1533-position model. Lineage: Bacteria; Bacillati; Actinomycetota; Actinomycetes. The record is from RNAcentral.